This 253-nucleotide ribosomal RNA is filed under the name uncultured bacterium. RNAcentral's name for it is "partial 16S ribosomal RNA". It matches the Rfam family "Bacterial small subunit ribosomal RNA", at positions 524 to 776 of the family's 1533-position model. The record is from RNAcentral.
UACGUAGGGUGCAAGCGUUAAUCGGAAUUACUGGGCGUAAAGCGUGCGCAGGCGGCUUUGCAAGACAGAUGUGUAAUCCCCGGGCUUAACCUGGGAAUGGCAUUUGGGACUGCAAGGCUCGAGUGCGGCAGAGGAGACUGGAAUUCCUGGUGUAGCAGUGAAAUGCGUAGAUAUCAGGAGGAACACCGAUGGCGAAGGCAGGUCUCUGGGCUGACACUGACGCUCAUGCACGAAAGCGUGGGGAGCAAACAGG